RNAcentral lists this ribosomal RNA (462 nucleotides) under Blastocystis hominis. RNAcentral describes it as "SSU rRNA". It matches the Rfam family "Eukaryotic small subunit ribosomal RNA", at positions 471 to 941 of the family's 1831-position model. Lineage: Eukaryota; Bigyra; Opalinata; Blastocystidae. The record is from RNAcentral.
CAAUAAAUCACAAUGCGGGACUAUCAGUCUUGCAAUUGGAUUGAGAACAAUGUACAACUCUUAUCGAUAAGCCAUUGGAGGGCAAGUCUGGUGCCAGCAGCCGCGGUAAUUCCAGCUCCAAUAGCGUAUAUUAACGUUGUUGCAGUUAAAAAGCUCGUAGUUGAAGUGUGGGUGAUCGCUAUUGUGAGACUUCGGUCUCUCGACAGUAAGUCACCCCCUUCCAGUAUCCAGUAGUGGGUAUUCAGUUCAGUUACUUACUAUUGUGUGUUGGUCGUUUACUGUGAGAAAAUUAGAGUGUUCAAAGCAGGCGUUUGCUUGAAUAGAUUAGCAUGGAAUAAUAAUUGAAGGCUUUCGUGUUCGAUUUGAUUGGUUUGUUCAUGGAAGCAAGGUUAAAAGGAACAGUUGGGGGUAUUCAUAUUCACUAGUUAGAGGUGAAAUUCUCGGAUUUAUGGAAGAUGAACA